Molecule: non-coding RNA, 5389 nt
Organism: Zonotrichia albicollis (white-throated sparrow)
Lineage: Eukaryota; Metazoa; Chordata; Aves; Passeriformes; Passerellidae
Source: RefSeq, a predicted model, not a curated record
GCGGCGGGGCCGGCCAUGGGCAGCGUGCGCUGGGCCUUCCCGUGCGGUGCAUGGCGGCCCCGCCGCCGCGAGUGGCUGCUGGCCGCGCAGCUGGUGCAGCCCGAGGAGAAGGAGCGCAUCGGCAAGUUUGUGUUUGCCCGCGAUGCCAAAGCCGCCUUGGCUGGUCGCCUGCUGAUGCGGAAAUUAAUGGCAGAGGAGCUGUGCAUACCUUGGAACGAAGUCCACUUGCAAAGGACACCAAAAGGAAAACCUUUCCUGGCCAGUAACGUAGUUGGUAUCAACUCAAAUUACAGCUUCAAUGUCUCUCAUCAAGGAGAUUAUGCAGUCCUUGCAGCUGAGCCUGAGCUUCAAGUUGGCAUUGAUAUUAUGAAGACUGAUUUACCAGGUAGUAGCUCAAUUCCAAAUUUCUUUCACUUAAUGAAGCGACAGUUUACUGAAACAGAGUGGGAUGUAAUCAAGUCCAUGAGUAAUGAAUGGAUGCAGCUGGAUAUGUUUUAUCGGCACUGGGCCUUAAAAGAAAGCUUCUUAAAGGCCAUUGGAGUUGGAAUUGGCUUUAACUUGCAAAGAAUUGAAUUUAAUGUGUCUCCAUUGCAACUGGAAAUAGGAAAGGUGUAUAAGGAGACAAAGAUGUUUCUGGAUGGAGAAAAAGAAGAGGAGUGGACAUUUGAGGAAACCCGCUUGGAUGGCAAUCAUCAUGUUGCAGUGGCACUUGGGAAACAGGAGGGAUUUGCACAGAAGGAUUCUGAUGUCCACUCCAUGGAGCCCAACCAACCACAAUUUACAUUAUUGACUUUUGAAGACUUAGUUGCAUCUGGUAUUCCUGUUGCACCUGAGGAUUCUGCAUAUUGGGACAACUUCUGUUCAAAGCAGGAGGGUCCAGUGAGACAGAGUUCACAUUCAAGAUAGGACUGUGUAUAAGAAAAAGAAACUUGACAAAGUUCUUACGCAGUUAUCCUGUUUAAUUUGAAGUACGUGAAUAAGUGCACAUAUGUAAAUGAAAUGUAUCCUUCUCUAUUUAAGCUGACAACCUGAUUUUCAUGACACUUCAUUGGGAUUCUAAGGAAGACAUGUUUCCUUUCUUAAGGAAUUCUGAAUCAGAAGCCUAAACCAACAUGCCUUUUUGCAUCUCCUUGCCUGUGGCUCUUACACUUCAGUAAUUAUCCAGGCUAGGAACAGAAAGCAGCUGUACAAUAAUGUUGUUUAUAAUGAACAAGUGUUUAGUAUAUAAAAAUGUGUUUCCAUACUAAUUUAUGCUGAAACUUAAAUUAUGAUACUGCUUUUUCUCUUACAAAAAUUAUUCAUUUAUUCUCAGAUGGACGAAUAAAAAAAAUGCUACAAAUUCUUAUGCUGUACAGCACUUGGUGUUUGUGUAAUGCCAGGCUGUAAAGGUCUAUAGUAGUCUUGAAGCUACAUAUGUGGAUGGGAAUUAACUUACAAAUAUUUCAUAGUCUUUUCACUUCUUAUCUUUGUUUAUUAAAGCUUCCUGUACGCAACUUAGUAUUUGUCUUUUAACAGCUCUUUUUUGUAUUUUUUUUUCCUCAGCAAUAGAUGCAAGCCAAGCAGCAAUUCAAUUUUCCUAGGCUUGCAUUUGCAUCAGUCAUGUGGGGAAGGAAGCUCAAAGAAAAAAAAAAGCUAUUUACUUAUUUCCAAAUAGUCUUGUAAUGUCUGAUGACAGAACAUUUUACUGUCCUAACAUCAAAUGAAGAUUUCUGGAGAUCUGUAGAUCUUGGGUGCACAUCUAGAAUAUUUUUUCUUCUUUUUCAAAAUAAAUCCUGUUUUGUGCCAUUACUUCUCACUCUUCUUUCUAGAAAUCAUAGAUACAAUGAGAUCCAUCUAAAUUUGAGAAAACAGAAUGAUCUUUGCACAAAAAUAAUCACCUUCUGUCCUGCGGUUAAACAUAGAUCUUCAUUGAAUUUGGGGUUGUGUACAACUAGGCUUCACCCUGUAUUCUGGUGUACACCGUGAAAAGGAGAAUCUACUUGUAGUGUAACCUCUGAAUCUAUCCCAUAUUACAAAGAUGAAGAAAAUUGUGUGAGAGAAGAUGAUUUUUACAACUAUUAAACAAGCAUUUGGAGUUCUGAACUCCAUUGAAUAGUUCUGAAUUCAACAUGCUGCUAAACUCUCCUGCUUCCAGUGCUGAUUAAUUUUUUUUCCCCAUCUCUAUGAGUCUCUCAUCCUGCAUGCUAAUCAUAGUUUUUAAUGUUUUGCUUUUUUUCCCCUCCAAAACUGCAAAUCAGUGAAACAAUGACUCUUCCCUUCAGUCUCCACAGGGGCAAAAUUAGAUGUUCAGUAACUUAAAAUCUGAAGUUUAAAAAAAAUACAGAAUACCUUAUAUACAAAUUCUAAGUCAUGUAGUCCAGAGUGUUUGUCUUUUAGAAAAAUGAAAUUCAAUUUGCAAUAAAUAAUUUGCAAUCCACAGAGGUCCAGUAUAGGCCAAUCAGUCACUGGACCCAUCUAUUGCAACUUUGCCAGACAGUUUGAAGUUGCCAACUUUUUUGCUAGGCCAAGGAAUCAAACUGCAAAUAUGGGAUGAACUGAAUAGAAAAAUUUCCAAUCUAGAUUUCUGGGGGUAAGAGAAUUAAUUUCAUAUUAGAGAUUAGUUAUUUUUGCAUGACAGCAGUGUCUCAAACCAGAAAUUUUCUUUCAUUGGAAAGAGUUUUAAAAGUAUUAGUGAAUUAUUUAUAAUAUUGUGCUUGCAUGUAAGUAGAGGACAAGCCAAUUUUGUUAAAUUAGAAAAUUGUGCUUGGUUUUCUUGCAAGAUAUAUGAUAGUUUUCAAGACUGUAUCUAAUUAGAAAGAGUUUGUUUUGGUUAGUUUUCCAUUAUGUAAAAUCUUAGUUUAGAGUGGUUCAUAAAGAAUUUUCGAGAAGACUGCAGUUUCUCAGGGUGUGAUUUUUUUUGGUGUCUUUUAAUUUACACUGAAGUGUUUGAAAAAUAAGGUCAAUCUCAUUUUUAGUUUUAAUAGCAGUUAGGUUAGAUGAUGGUAAUGCCUUUAGAAGGACCACUUGAGUCAGGUUGUUUUAUGUCAUUGCAAAUGGACGCAAUUGUUGUACUUGCUUUUACCUCAGUGGGAAAGAGCAGCUAGAUCGUUAUGGAAUUUUUGGCUAAAAGCAUGCUGCUAAAAGGCCAGCAGGACAUUCUGACUCCUUAGAAAUGUGACUGAUCCUUCUUAAAAACUUACUUCUUAAAAAAGAAGUAAGUUUUUCUGGAUAUCUGUGCUGUGGAGGCAUAUACUGAAAUAAGUGUUGUUAGUGUGUACAAAUAAAUUAAUGUUAUUUCACAGUUCUAAGAUAAAUUUCUUUUUUAGUUCACUGUCACACUUUUCGUUGAUAAGAAGAUAAUUGAGCCUUUUCUCCACACAAGGCCACAACACUGACUUACUUGCAUUUCCACAGAAUACAGAGCCAAUGGCCAUAGAGCCUCUCUGCCAUUUGAGAGCAGCUCCAGCUUCCCUUGCUAGGUCAAGCUGUCUGCCCAGUCCAGGCUAGGUGAGGUGACCUUUGCUGUCUCCCAUCAUUCUUCUGUCCCAUUUACACCUAAAAGCCUCAGCACCUUUUGAUUCCUUCUCCAGAGCUCCAUUCCUUCAUCUGUUUUGUUUUCUACAUAGUGUCCUUGACAUAACUGUACCACAUGCCUAUGAGGGUAAGAAGCUGUAAAAACACAAGCUCUGCUCCACAUGAGCCUUUUCCAGCAGUGACUGCAGCUAGGUAGACUUUUUCCCUAUGGAACACCAUUGACCCAUCCUCCCAUUUCUCAAAUUCUCAGAUUUUGGUCUUAGAUUGGAUCCUAUGUUUUCCUAGGUGGAAAUCAACACAGUGUUUCUGAAAAGUAUUUGUUAAGUCUCUGAUCAAAAAAUAAAUUUCAAAAGUUUUGGUCUGCAGUGAAAAGGUGGUUAAAAAUGAAUAGAUGUGUUUUAGUUUGGACUUGUUCAAAACUUUUUGUAUCUUACAUCAAAAAUAGUUGAGCAGAUUAGGAACUUCAGGGGGUAAAACUGGGUUCAAGGCAGUUAGCAACGGCGUGGCAAGAGACAGGUGCCAUUUGAUGUGAAAAUCUGUAACUGAAAAGUGGAUCAUGAGGGUUCACUCAGCUUUCUACGGAGUCUGUAAACUUACACAAGAUGUAGAUUGUUACUAUCUUAUGGGAUCAAGUCCACUGGUGUUAAUCAAGUAUGCUGAUCUUAGACAGGAAAUCAGAGGUGCAUCAACAGAAGAAAUGUAUAUAUGGUUGUUAUAUGUGUGCUCUGGGAAACAUCUGGGGAACAGCUCAACUUUAAACUACCAUCUCUACCCAAGACACUGCAAUAAGGAAAUGAUUUGUGAAAAAGUAGAAAAGAUGGUUAUGCAAGUCAGCAUAGAGUGGCCUUUGUUGGAGCUUUACGCAAUUAUAGUGCUACAUUCUACAAAGAUAAGUGGUUCUUGGCAAAAUUGAAACCAUGUCUAAAACAGCAAUUGAGACUGUCAGCCUUAACUGCUGCCUAAUUCUGCAGGUGUGCUUCAUUAUCCUCCAGAAUUCAGUUAGUUUUGAUUACUUCGCUCUUUGUAGAAAAUCACCUCUUGGAGUACUUCAGAGGUUUGCCAGGAUGCUUGCCAGAUAUGUCCUAAGGAUUUAGUGAUGCCUUUUGACUUUUGGAGCAGGAACACCAAGAUUCCCAGCAUUAUCAAGAUGCAAUGCCAGACCAAUAGGCAAUGGCAGAAUUUGGAAGGACUUUAAGAGCUUUGAUAAAUGCAUGCAGGGCUUCCCUCCUGGACCCACGAGGUUCUCUGGGAAUUCACAUAGGUUGGGGAAAUUUGGUGAGAAAAAUGAACCAGGCCAAGCACUGCAAACCAGUCUAGCACCUGAGCUGACAUCAAACAAGAUUUGGAAGAAGAAGCUUUAAUUCUUAGGGUAAGUACAAAAGCAGCUAAAACUGGAAUCUCUAGCGUGCUAUGUGUGGUGAAAACUAAUGUUCCAGGAUUUAUAGAAUCUAAGAGAAGAGCCCCAGUCUGUAAGUUUUUCAUUUAUGUACAUCAAAGCAUGCACUUUCAAUUACAAAUAAUACAGGACAAUAGCACAGUGGGGAGAUAAGAAUUAAGGAGCUUCCAAUUCUGGUGAUGAAGUAUUUUUUAAGGAGUCUUCCAAUUCUGGUGGUAAAAUAUUUUUCUCCAUUCCUUUAUCUUCCAAAGUUUAAUAUUUCUACAUGUCUAACAUACAUUUUCUUGUUAUUGUGAUAAAUGAGUUUUUGUUUAUUUUAUUGGUCUAAAAUUGCCUUUCUUCUAUUUUAACUAUUGAAGGGUAUGUAGUUAUGUUUUUACUGGAUGUCUGCUAAUAUAAAAGUGUCAUUUUAGAAUUAGUGUCUGCCUGCUGCCUGUAUUUCUGUGCAACCAUAAUAAAAUCUCUUCUUGUUGCCUCUGU